This 997-nucleotide unclassified non-coding RNA is filed under the name Bombus terrestris (buff-tailed bumblebee). RNAcentral describes it as "misc RNA ENSBTSG00005037968.1". The record is from RNAcentral. Lineage: Eukaryota; Metazoa; Arthropoda; Insecta; Hymenoptera; Apidae.
AUUAGAUGCGCAAGAGAGGUUAGUAUCAUUUAUUGUUGAUGACUUUAUCGAUAAAAGUCAAUAUGGUAUCCAAAUAAAUUAUGCAAUAUACACAAACUUUAUAUACGCAUAAGUCGUAAAAUAAUGAUCUCUGCGCUUUGAAACUGGGAUUUUUGGAUUCUACUUAUGAUAUGAUAAAUAAGGGUCACAAAUUUGGUAUGUCCCAUAUAAGCGCGACGUUAUUUUCUUCUUCUUAAAUACUACAGAAAAAUUACUUAAAUUAAAAAAGCUAUUUUUCUAUCAUACUGAUUGACAUUUGGAUGUUCCGUUGUUCCUGUAAUAAGGAGGUUAAUCACGCGAUCUUACUCGUUCCCUCGUCUUCUCGCGGAUACAGUGGAAAUUUGUCCGACUAUCUUUUGCCAGAAAAAUCUCACAUUGCUCUACCUACUGCCGAGAAUUUGACAAAAGCUUCGCGAUUUAAGAUUACACUGUCAUUUGUUAUAGAAAUCGAUAUAGGAAAUAUUAUAGUAUUCAAGAGAUAUUUGUAUAUAUAAUAAAUCUAAAAUAGCAUUGUAUAAACUAAACCUAACCCAUACAGGUGCAUGUGAUUUCAAAUAAAUGAAAUAAAAGAAUUAUAUUAGAGAAAGCAAAAUUUGAUAUGAAUUAUGUAUAUAUUAUUUUAAGAAGAUUUAUAAUAAAAAUAUUGAAAUCUUAUUAUUGAUUGUCGAUUUAUACUUUUGCAUAUAAAGUAACCUCCUUUGCCAGACUUCCCGUUUUACGUCCCUGUACAAAGGGUGUUCUAAAAUAUAUCGUUAAACAGAUAUCGAAUUGCAGCUAUCUUGGCAGAUCUACCUAAAAAUUUAGAAGAAAGAAUAUGUGAGUAUUAUAUAUACUUCGUAUCUGACAUAUAUAAUUUAUAAAGAAAGAAUAUGUGAGUAUUAUAUAUACUUCGUAUCUGACAUAUAUAAUUUGUAAAGAAAGAAUUUUUUACUCUAUAAUUAAAAUUUUAAAUUUAUGA